This 447-nucleotide ribosomal RNA is filed under the name uncultured bacterium. RNAcentral's name for it is "bacterial SSU rRNA". It matches the Rfam family "Bacterial small subunit ribosomal RNA", at positions 355 to 825 of the family's 1533-position model. The record is from RNAcentral.
UCGGGAAUUUUGGGCAAUGGGCGAAAGCCUGACCCAGCAACGCCGCGUGAAGGAUGAAGUAUUUCGGUAUGUAAACUUCGUAAGAAUAGGAAGAAUAAAUGACGGUACUAUUUGUAAGGUCCGGCUAACUACGUGCCAGCAGCCGCGGUAAUACGUAGGGACCAAGCGUUGUUCGGAUUUACUGGGCGUAAAGGGCGCGUAGGCGGUGUGUCAAGUCAGUUGUGAAAUCUCCGAGCUUAACUCGGAACGGUCAACUGAUACUGUCACACUAGAGUACAGAAGGGGCAAUCGGAAUUCUUGGUGUAGCGGUGAAAUGCGUAGAUAUCAAGGGGAACACCUGAGGCGAAGGCGGGUUGCUGGGCUGAUACUGACGCUGAGGCGCGAAAGCUAGGGUAGCAAACGGGAUUAGAUACCCGUGUAGUCCCUGAGCGGGCUGGCAAGGCGCAU